UACGGGGGGAGCAAGCGUUGUUCGGAUUUACUGGGCGUAAAGGGCUCGUAGGCGGCCAACUAAGUCGGACGUGAAAUCCCUCGGCUUAACCGGGGAACUGCGUCCGAUACUGGAUGGCUUGAGUAUGGGAGAGGGAUGCGGAAUUCCAGGUGUAGCGGUGAAAUGCGUAGAUAUCUGGAGGAACACCGGUGGCGAAGGCGGGUCUCUGGGCCGAUACUGACGCUGAGGAGCGAAAGCGUGGGGAGCGAACAGG
RNAcentral lists this ribosomal RNA (253 nucleotides) under uncultured bacterium. RNAcentral describes it as "partial 16S ribosomal RNA". It matches the Rfam family "Bacterial small subunit ribosomal RNA", at positions 524 to 776 of the family's 1533-position model. The record is from RNAcentral.